This 775-nucleotide ribosomal RNA is filed under the name uncultured Neocallimastigales. RNAcentral's name for it is "partial large subunit ribosomal RNA". It matches the Rfam family "Eukaryotic large subunit ribosomal RNA", at positions 26 to 647 of the family's 3401-position model. Lineage: Eukaryota; Fungi; Neocallimastigomycota; Neocallimastigomycetes; Neocallimastigales. The record is from RNAcentral.
CGCAUCUGUGCAUGCAGCAUAUCAAUAAGCGGAGGAAAAGAAACUAACAAGGAUUCCCCUAGUAACGGCGAGUGAAGCGGGAAGAGCUCAAAUUUGAAAUCUUAAAGGGUUUCCCUUUACGAAUUGUAGUUUAAAGAAGUGUUUUCUGUUGAGGUUUUGGUAAAAGUUCUUUGGAAUAGGACAUCAUAGAGGGUGAGAAUCCCGUAUUUGACCAUUACUUUCAACUUUGUGAUACACUUUCAAAGAGUCGGAUUGUUUGGGAAUGCAGUCCAAAAUGGGUGGUAAAUUUCAUCUAAAGCUAAAUAUUGGCGAGAGACCGAUAGCGAACAAGUACCGUGAGGGAAAGAUGAAAAGAACUUUGAAAAGAGAGUUAAACAGUACGUGAAAUUGUCAAAAGGGAAGCGUUUGACACCAGUGUUGUUUUUCUGAAAAUCAAUUAAAGAACUGUGUAUGCUAAGUUGUUUAGACUUUAUCAGCUAUCUGUCUAGUUUUGAGCUUUUCUUUAAUGCACUUUUCAGUUAACAAGUCAACAUCAAUUUCUUUUGCUGUAAAAAAGCUUGAGGAAGGUGGCUUGAGAUUCGUCUUAAGUGUUUAUAGCCUCUUGCCUAUGCAGUCGGAGAGAUUGAGGUCUGCAGCGUAGAUCCUUCGGGGUUAGAUAGCAUUUGUGCUAAGUUAUAGCAUUUUAUAGACAACUUGUUGACUAUGAUUUGUCUUGUAGCUUACUCGCUUAUGUUAUUUUACCUACGCUUAGGAUGUUGACGAGACUGUCGAUCUC